UAGACCUACAUCUCAGUCUGAGGGCUCUCCCCGCCACCCCCUCCUGCACAGGCACUUUCUCCAAUAGACCUCCUGCACACCUGCCUCAUCUCGGCCUGUGCUUCUCAGAGGACUCAGUGGACACAGCUGGAACUGACGGGAGUGCCACAAACAGCCCCAGUGUUUAUUGCCUAGAGGCCAAGGUUGCAAGAUCCUCAGGCUCAGAGGUGAGGGGGAGCUCCCCACACCUGCCCAGGCCGAGCGACUGCGAACAGGAGCUUCAUGGGCUGGUGUCGGCUGCUUUGGCUUCCACUUUCCACAAGAGAAGGAGCAUCUUUUCCUGAUGGGGGCUCGUCUCCAUGGCAGCCAGAUGCCCUGACGGGGAGGAAAAAGACCUAAGGGGACAAGUCUUUAGCUCAUUUGGAGCUUCACAAAAUUGUACAUUUUGAUGUUUCCCUCCCAUUACUGAACUAGUACACGGCCAAAAAAAUUUGAAGAGGCCAAAAAGUAAACAGAGGGAAAAGAUAACUUGUAGGACUCAACCGGUGAUCUCUGGGAAAAUUUCCUUCUCUCUUUGUAAAGGUCAGAAUUAAAAAGUGAUGGUUGGAAUUGCA
Long non-coding RNA from Myotis brandtii (Brandt's bat), 593 nucleotides. RefSeq lists it as uncharacterized. The transcript has 2 exons. Lineage: Eukaryota; Metazoa; Chordata; Mammalia; Chiroptera; Vespertilionidae. The record is from RefSeq and is a predicted model, not a curated record.